This is a non-coding RNA of Acanthosepion pharaonis, 110 nucleotides long. NCBI's taxonomy places the organism in Eukaryota, Metazoa, Mollusca, Cephalopoda, Sepiida, Sepiidae. The record is from the annotation of a GenBank genome assembly.
GGCCACAUCACAUUGAAACACCAGUUCCUGUAUGAUCACUUGAAGUUAAGCAACAUUGAGCCUGGUCAGUAUCAAGAUGGGUGACCACUUGGGAAUACCAGGUGGUGUAA